GUGGGGAAUCUUGCGCAAUGGGCGAAAGCCUGACGCAGCCAUGCCGCGUGAAUGAUGAAGGUCUUAGGAUUGUAAAAUUCUUUCACCGGGGACGAUAAUGACGGUACCCGGAGAAGAAGCUCCGGCUAACUUCGUGCCAGCAGCCGCGGUAAUACGAAGGGGGCUAGCGUUGCUCGGAAUUACUGGGCGUAAAGGGCGCGUAGGCGGACAGCUUAGUCAGAGGUGAAAGCCCAGGGCUCAACCUUGGAAUUGCCUUUGAUACUGGCUUUCUGGAGUUUGGGAGAGGUGAUUGGAACUCCGAGUGUAGAGGUGAAAUUCGUAGAUAUUCGGAAGAACACCAGUGGCGAAGGCGACUCACUGGCCCAAUACUGACGCUGAGGCGCGAAAGCGUGGGGAGCAAACAGGAUUAGAAACCCUAGUAGUCC
RNAcentral lists this ribosomal RNA (425 nucleotides) under uncultured bacterium. RNAcentral describes it as "partial 16S ribosomal RNA". It matches the Rfam family "Bacterial small subunit ribosomal RNA", at positions 354 to 796 of the family's 1533-position model. The record is from RNAcentral.